RNAcentral lists this long non-coding RNA (206 nucleotides) under Elaeis guineensis (African oil palm). RNAcentral's name for it is "long non-coding RNA (EGUI_LNC028506)". Lineage: Eukaryota; Viridiplantae; Streptophyta; Magnoliopsida; Arecales; Arecaceae. The record is from RNAcentral.
CAGGUCAUCGUUUCUUUAAGAAAGGAAAGAAGAAGAAGGUGCAGAAAAAUCAUGCGGCCAAUCUUAAGCCAAAAUAGAGCAAAAAGUCAGAAGUUGACAAGAGCCAGACAGAAUGCUUCUUUUGUAAGAAGUUGGAUCAUUGAAAAAAAAAUUAUCCGACAUAUAUAGUUUCUCUUGAUCCAAACAGAUCAAAGAACAAGAGAAAC